RNAcentral lists this long non-coding RNA (1387 nucleotides) under Betta splendens (Siamese fighting fish). RNAcentral describes it as "lncRNA (ENSBSLG00000020099.1)". The record is from RNAcentral. Lineage: Eukaryota; Metazoa; Chordata; Actinopteri; Anabantiformes; Osphronemidae.
CAUCGCAUUGCCAUCAGAAUGUCAAGUCCUUGUGUCAUUCAGAUCACCUGCCAAAGUGUGUGAUAGUUUGGGACAAUGUGAGUUUUCAUCACUCCAACAUCAUUAGGCGUCAGGAUGGAAAGUUGUAACACAGAUGACUGGACAGAUCUGGAUUUUUGUUCAAAGACAUCAUAAUCAUACUAUCAUGCUUUUCAGGGCCUAAUUAUUGUAUAUUUUGGGGUCUAUACGAUCUACGAUAUCGUAGAGCCAAUACACGAUAGAGUCCAUUAUGUUUUGAUGCUGUUUAGAUUGUGCGCACGUCACCAGAAACUGUUGUCACGCCUACCUGGUUGGCUCCUCUUCUCUGUCAAUCACAUUAUGAGCGCUGCUGAUUGGUUCAGUUACCUACUCAGGUUUAUAUGCACACUUGUACCGUUUGUCCAGUAUUGCGAUAAGGGCGAAAAUAAGGAAGUGUGUUCAGAACCGAAGCAAAUUACUGGAUGAAAAGAGUCUGGGGAGCUGUGCAGUGCAGACACAGAAACCUACAUCUACAUGCAGGUGCCCCAACCAACCUUCUUAUCAAGCCUCUCUUCCACCGCUACCACCUCUUAGCGAGCCUCUGGUGGGACGGGUUCAUCCUCUGUGCUGAGACUUAAUUAUGAUAUGCCACAGCAACGUCAGCCCCAAGUAUUGGCUGAGGUGGAGUCAACUUUAGCAGCAGUGAUGCAGCAUCAUAAUGCACAAUCUAACCUAAGCCAUGCAGAUGUUGGAUUAUUUGUUGCACAUGCAGCCCAGCUCCAGUCAUUCUGUGAAGAUGUCAUGGUCAGUUCUUUACAGGUCUGUGUGGUAGUUGGUUGUUUAGGCUAUAGACUUGUUCACAUUUGUGUCACGGUGGAUAUGAGUGAAAGGUGCCAAAAGACUCAACGCUGAUAAUAUUUCAUCUUCUAUAUUUGCAUAAAUCAAAUUUAAACCUUGUUUUCUCACCCAAUGGUUGGCGUCAGCACAACAGAGCUAAGAUUUGACAUUUACUUGGUUUAUUCUAGUUCAUUAACUCUGAUCACUGAAAUCACACUUCUGCUGUGGACCCGUUUUUGUGGGGAGUACCAAGAUCAUAAGGCGCAUAAACCAACCUCUUGUUAAGCCAACACCUCCGUCUCCUGCAGAGGAGCUCCGCAAUGGGGAAAUCUACAGGUCAGCAGGAAAGCAAAAGGUCAGUCCCAGCCAUCAUGUUGUGAAGACUUACUUUGGAACAUUCAAGAUGCUGCAUGUGUCCUUUCUCUUCUUCCAGAGACUGCGCCCUACAGAACCUUGCAGCGCAGAUGAAGGCACUCCCUAAAGUUGUGGGCUGUGAGCUGUGUGGUGGAAAUUUUGCAAUAAAGGCAGAUGAGAGAGAGUUGUCCUUUUGUGC